GACGAACGCUGGCGGCGUGCCUAAUACAUGCAAGUAGAACGCUGAAGGAGGAGCUUGCUUCUCUGGAUGAGUUGCGAACGGGUGAGUAACGCGUAGGUAACCUGCCUGGUAGCGGGGGAUAACUAUUGGAAACGAUAGCUAAUACCGCAUAACAGUAGAUGUUGCAUGACAUUUGCUUAAAAGGUGCAAUUGCAUCACUACCAGAUGGACCUGCGUUGUAUUAGCUAGUUGGUGGGGUAACGGCUCACCAAGGCGACGAUACAUAGCCGACCUGAGAGGGUGAUCGGCCACACUGGGACUGAGACACGACCCAGACUCCUACGGGAGGCAGCAGUAGGGAAUCUUCGGCAAUGGACGGAAGUCUGACCGAGCAACGCCGCGUGAGUGAAGAAGGUUUUCGGAUCGUAAAGCUCUGUUGUAAGAGAAGAACGAGUGUGAGAGUGGAAAGUUCACACUGUGACGGUAUCUACCA
Molecule: ribosomal RNA, 472 nt
Filed under: Streptococcus mitis
Lineage: Bacteria; Bacillati; Bacillota; Bacilli; Lactobacillales; Streptococcaceae
Description: bacterial SSU rRNA
Rfam family: Bacterial small subunit ribosomal RNA
Source: RNAcentral